Molecule: transfer RNA, 70 nt
Filed under: Loxodonta africana (African savanna elephant)
Lineage: Eukaryota; Metazoa; Chordata; Mammalia; Proboscidea; Elephantidae
Rfam family: tRNA
About the family: Transfer RNA (tRNA) molecules are approximately 80 nucleotides in length. Their secondary structure includes four short double-helical elements and three loops (D, anti-codon, and T loops). Further hydrogen bonds mediate the characteristic L-shaped molecular structure. tRNAs have two regions of fundamental functional importance: the anti-codon, which is responsible for specific mRNA codon recognition, and the 3' end, to which the tRNAs corresponding amino acid is attached (by aminoacyl-tRNA synthetases). tRNAs cope with the degeneracy of the genetic code in two manners: having more than one tRNA (with a specific anti-codon) for a particular amino acid; and 'wobble' base-pairing, i.e. permitting non-standard base-pairing at the 3rd anti-codon position.
Source: Rfam by way of RNAcentral
GAGUGUAUGUUCAGUGAUAGAACCCUCACCUUCCAUGUGGGAGACCUGGGUUUGAUUCCCAGUGGACGUA